GGAGAGGUGGCCGAGUGGCUUAAGGCGCACGCUUGGAAAGCGUGUGUGCGUUUACGCGUACCGUGGGUUCGAAUCCCACCCUCUCCGCCA
RNAcentral lists this transfer RNA (90 nucleotides) under Rhodospirillaceae bacterium. RNAcentral describes it as "tRNA-Ser". It matches the Rfam family "tRNA". Rfam says of the family: Transfer RNA (tRNA) molecules are approximately 80 nucleotides in length. Lineage: Bacteria; Pseudomonadati; Pseudomonadota; Alphaproteobacteria; Rhodospirillales; Rhodospirillaceae. RNAcentral also lists the same sequence under 1 other name. The record is from RNAcentral.